This 6151-nucleotide unclassified non-coding RNA is filed under the name Hermetia illucens (black soldier fly). Its description in RNAcentral is "oxysterol-binding protein-related protein 2, transcript variant X5". Lineage: Eukaryota; Metazoa; Arthropoda; Insecta; Diptera; Stratiomyidae. The record is from RNAcentral.
AGGGUGAAGUGUGUAAACAAAUUUUCGGAAAAAUAUAAAAAAAUCUGAUAAGAAUUGGGAAGAAUCACAUUGAACGAUAUAAAGUGUAAAUAAGAUGUUUUGAAACUAUCAAGUGCAUGCCGUCUCGUCCUUGAAAGUGAUUGUCAUGCUCUAUUCAUUCCUCGCAAGUUUAUAUGCAAGUUCAGAUUGAUAAAACUUGACAAAAUCCAACGCAACAUCCGAUGUGGAACGUCUAAGAUUCAAUAUAAACACAGUUGUUGUGAAGCGAGUAGAAAAAUGAGUGAUUCCACAAGCUCGGAUAGUUCUAGCAGUACGGGAUCAGAAAUUGAGGAAAUAUUCUUGCGAGCCUGCCGCAAUGGGGAUAUUCAGACUGUGACAUUGUUGCUCGAAAAAAGAGAUUCUGGCAAGUACGGAUUCGACGUGAGCUGCAAAGGGAAAUCAAAAAGCAACUUGGGAUGGACACCACUGCAUUUGGCAACGUAUUUUGGACAUCGUACCGUCAUGGAAGUGCUGUUAACUGCAGGUGCCGAUAUUAAUGCGAUUAACGAUAGCGGCGAUACGCCCCUGCACAAAGCAGCGUUUAUCGGCCGAGAGGACUUAGUUAUGCUACUACUACAACAUAAUGCCGAUGUAAAUAUAAUAAACGGAGAAGGCCGGCUUCCACGUGAUGUGACCCCAGCCAAUGAGGUUGGAAAAGAAAUUAGCAAACUCCUAAGAGCUGCAGAAGCUACCGAAAUGCUAAGGAAGGAAAGCAAACUCCUAACGGCUGCCAGGGAUGGUGAUAUCAAUACCUUGAAUGCUCUGCUCAAAGAUCAACAACCCCCAAACGUGAAUUGUGUGGAUGCCCAAGGUAAUUCAUGCCUUCACUGUGCAGCAUAUCGUGGCCAUAAAGAAACUGCAGUAUUAUUACUUCAAAAUGGUAUUGAUACUAAUAUUAGAAACAACCGAGGACAAUUGGCUCUGGAUUUAGCAAGAGACUCACAAACUCUUCAAGUGCUCAGUGUAAAAGCAGUAAGGCGGGUUCAAAAAACUGCAACACUUUUCGAGGGACCAUUACUGAAGAGAUCACGUUUUUUGGGGUGGAAACCAGUAUGGGCUGUUUUAGAACGAGGAGUUCUUAGUUAUUUUACCUCACGAGCUGACUCCACGUUAAGUGAAAAUAAACGCCGAGAUUACAAGUAUUUAGAUAGUGCAAGAGUAACCCCGUUGACAACAGAUUUAUCAUCGUUCGUGGUACAUUUCAAUGAUGGCGCCGUACAUCGGUUAAGUGUUAUUAGUAAUAGAGAUGUUUCUCCUCAGGUUGAAAGACAGAAAUGGGUAAAUGCUUUCCAAGAGCAUGCAGCGUACAGUGCUCAUUACUUGUGGGGAUUAGAAAAAAGAAAGUCUGAAAGUGAUGAUGAUUUUACGGCGAUUGCAAAACCCCUGGGUUGUAUGGCUGAUGCAUUAUCAUCAGCAACGGCAAGUUAUGAGGUCUUGCAACGACAACUAGGGGAAUGUGCCACUAUAAUAGAAGCUUUGCAGAAAAGUUUUGACUGCAAAGAUGACUCACCAAAUCUUCCAACUUCCGCUCUGAUGGUAGGGAAUUUCGGUUUGGCUUAUUUGCGCUUCCAAUUAGUUUCCGAAACUGCAGCCAAUAUGUUAGCUUCCUUACAGCAUUGCCUUACACUGUUCCAUCAACAAGAAGAUGUUCGAGUUCUACAGUUGAAACAGGAGCAAGAAAAAUGUCGAGUAUUAGAAGAAGCGCUGAAUGUAUUAGCAAAGGAGCAUCAUGAGCUCGAACAAUCGGUAGCAUCUCACAUAUCAGAAGGAGGACGCAAUUUAAACCCCAAGUCACCGCGAAUCUACGAUACAGAUGACGAUGAAUUUUAUGAUGCGUACGAAGCGGAUUCUGAUACCGAUACUCUAGUCACAGCUGAAUCUUUAUUCAACUCACCAUCAGAAUCGUUACAAGACCUAAAUUCAGUGAGCGUUCAAUCAUAUGAGCCUCUACUUCAGUCCAUAACAUACUGUAAAAGAUCGGCGAGGAAGCAAUCGACCGAUUCUAAUUCGUCUUCCGGAAGUAGUGAUACACUUGUCGAUGGAGUUUCAAUGGUAUCAUCAUGCGCCACGUUGAUAUCGACCGGUGGAUCUGCAUAUAAAUGUGCCAAAGAUCAAUCGCUUCCUGUCCAAGAGGAUGACAGUCUCUGUGAAAGCUUUAAGGAUAUGAGUGAAACGUUGAGCAAAUGUGAACCUUUUCGAAAUAGGACGUCACUUCCAGUUCCCAUGUUCUCUCGAAAUGACUUCAGUAUUUGGUCUGUUUUAAAGAAUUGUAUUGGCAAAGAAUUAAGUAAAAUCACGAUGCCUGUUAUUUUCAAUGAGCCAUUAAGUUUCUUACAACGGAUGUGCGAAUACAUGGAGUAUGCUAAGUUAAUUCGUUUGGCUUCAGAACAGGAGGACCCCGUGGAGCGUAUGAAAUAUAUAGCAGGAUUUGCUGUUUCUGCCCUCGGAUCGAACUGGGAACGUUUGGGAAAGCCAUUUAAUCCACUUUUGGGCGAAACGUUUGAGUUGCAGCGUUCGGAAUACCGUGUCGUUUGCGAACAGGUAUCGCAUCAUCCGCCCGUAUCGGCAUUCCAUGCUGAUUCCCCAAGCUUCUUGUUCCAUGGAUCAAUUCAUCCAAAAUUGAAGUUUUGGGGCAAAAGCGUUGAAAUUCAACCCAAAGGAAUUGUUACAUUAGAACUUCCAAAGUGGGGAGAAGCCUACACUUGGUCCAAUGUAAACUGCUGUGUUCAUAAUAUAAUAGUUGGUAAGUUGUGGAUGGAACAAUAUGGGACAAUGGAGGUUGUGAAUCAUACCACCGGUCACAAAGCAAUCUUAACAUUUAAGCCAGCUGGCUGGGCAUCGAAGGAUUUGCACCGAGUGGAAGGCUUCAUUACAGAUAAGAAUAAGAAAAAGUUACAUUUCCUCUAUGGCAAAUGGACUGAAUUUAUAAAAUGUACCGAUAUUGAUUCGUACGAGGAAUAUAUGAAAGAGAAUGCGCACAAGUUCCGCAAGGGUGAUGAGAAAGUGAAAAGCCCGAACGACUCACCCGCUCAUACUCCAAGAAAAGUAUUUUCCAAGUUAAAUAGUCUGAAGAUGAGUUCAUUUAAAAGUCUUUCCAUACAAGAUUCAGAAGACAUUCCAGAACCGCCAGAGGGUGAGAUACCGAAAUGUGAUUCAACGUAUUCCAUUGACAUUCCACAUUCAGUAACAGUAUGGGAAGCCGAACAACGCCCACCAAAUACGGCAGAGUAUUAUCAAUUCACAUUGUUUGCAAUGUCUUUGAAUGAGAUUGAGCCUGGAAUGGAACCACCAAAAACACUAUGUCCAACUGAUUCACGUCUUCGACCAGAUAUACGCAAAUUAGAGGCUGGUGACAUUGAUGGGGCAGCGGCAGAAAAAACCCGAUUAGAAGAAAAACAAAGAGAGUCUCGAAAACUUCGUAAGAAUAAAAAGGGAGAUGAGUGGACACCAAGAUGGUUCCGUUUAGGAACGAACCCAUACACACAUCAAGAAGAUUGGCUUUACAGCGGUGGCUAUUGGGAUCGUAACUAUACUGAUCUUGAUAUUUUCUAAGUCAUUCGCAAAAUUAAAAUAAUGCAACGCAUAUCGCAGAUUAUUCGCAAUUAUUGACAAAUGCAUAACAUCACGAAACCGCUACAGUUGAAUAAAGUAUUAUUUUAAAAGACAAUUGUGAAGAAAACUACAAAUAAGCGUUAAACCACUAUAUCCAAUAUUGUUAGUAUAAUCGAAUAUUAAAGCAAUAAUGGGAUGUGUGUUUUCAAGAUAAUUGUUUUUGUAUAGAAAAUACAUAACCGCCGUUCGACCGGCAACAAAUCUCACUUGAAAAGUUCCAAAACAGUUGGUUCACGAAUUUUGUUUAUAAAAUAGAUUCAAUUAAAUGUUUUUGUUUAUAUUCCUACCCUAAAAUGAUAAAGACGCUUAUUACUCCUUUGUUAAGUAUUCAAAGUUGCAAUAAAUUUCCAUAUCAAUUGUUUGUAGAUGCUUUACAAAGUAGAAUAAAAUGUUAUCUUUUAUGAUAUGCUGAAGAGUGAGUUUUCUAUUUUACUCUUUUGAGAUUCGCUGAAGCGUUAAACGUAAUUAUCAGGCAUCCUUUUUGAACUAUCGAAGGAUAGAUAUUAUUACACAAGUCGGUGGAUAUUAGACUCUAUCCUAAUAAUACGAAUGAAUUCUAGUCUUUUAUAUCAAAUUCCAGAAGAAUUUUGUAGAAAGCUUAAACUUAUAAAUUAAUUUAACUUACUGCUUCUGAAACAUUCCCCUGAACAAAUACUUUUCCAAUUUUUUUUAACCACAAAUAUAAUUAGGAGGUUGUUUGUUAGCCGGAGUCUUAAAAUGAAAGAUUGUCUUGGAAGAUAUUUUUCUGGUUUAUUGGCUAAAAGUAUCUAAUUUAAACAAAUGCGUAUUUGGGGGCUCAACUGUCUCCUUUUUCAGUGUUUUUAGAUAAUAAAAACCAACAAAACGGAAAAAUAUCUUCCAAGGCAAUCUUUCACAAAUAUAAGUUUCGAAAAUUCCUGUUUCAUUGCUUAUAGUAUUGAUUGAGUUGAUUCACAAAUUGAAUAAUUUUUCUACGAUAAAUAGAGGCGCUAGCAUUUGUUAUUGAAUCCCAAUCAAGAGAAUGCCUAUCACCUUUAUUUUAAAUUUAGAUAUCUUUCAACUGAGGAACACAUCCAAAACUGCACAUCGAAUUAUAUAUUAGCCUGAAAGAAAUUUGAAGAAAUGAUUUGCUUUUUUGAACUUUUGCAUAGAACCGAGUCAAUUUAUAAAACAAUAAAAAAGUGUAUAGUACCCGCCGUUGAAAUUUUUGACCGACAUAGACGCCUCAGAAACAUUCAAAUUACUUUAUUAUUUUCUGCGAUCUUGUCAAUAAUCGGCGUUAUCAAUUUCAAUUUCAGUCCAUAGAAGUGGCGUUGACCAACGGGAGGCAACCUUGAUGUAUUGCAAAUCUACAGUCCUUUAUAUAUUGCAAGCCCUUAACACAAACAAAAGUUAGAAUUAUUCUCAAAGUUUGGUGUCGUGAAUAACCGAAAAAAUGAUGUCUUCAGAAACAAACUUACACAUGGGAGAAAGUGUUAAUUUCACAUAGAUAUAUGAUUAUAUCCUUCAAAAUAUAAUUAGUUCCUUAUGUAACUUCCGCGUUGCUUUUGACCAAGUACUGAUUACUACUUUCCAUCCAAGAUUAGACAAUUAAACCAGCUUUCGAGAAUGUAUUAUCCAUUAUUAUUCAGUUUUUAUACUGAAUCAUAAUUUGCUUUAAGAAAUUAAAAAUAGCAUGUGAGCAUUGAAAAAAUAAUGCAAUCAUAACAGCUUUCAUAAAACCAUGAAAUCUUCAAUUAAAAAAUGUGAUCUUUAUUAUUGAAAACACAGCAUAAAACAAAGAAUUAUUCCAACAACACAAACAACGUACGACACAAUCAGUUUGAUAGAAACUACACAACCACUGAGGGAAUAUAAAUGUCUGUAAUUAAGAAAUAUAAGAAAAACAAAUCUUUAUUACUCAAGCAUUGUGUAUGCAUGCCAAAAACUAUACUGUAGAAACUGUAUAAUAACGUUAGAGAAAUUUUAAUUAGAAAAAAUAUUUUCGACAUGUUUGGCAAGUAGUGAAAAAAAAACAAAUAAAUGGAAGUAUUAUCGAUCAAAGAUCAUAGAAAAAGUUAAAAAGUUGUAGAAACGUGUAGAAAACAUAAGAGAAAAAGCGCAUGCAUAUAAUGAUUGUAUAUUGUAGUAAUGUUUCGGACCAUCUUUAUUUACUACAUUAUAAUGUACACCUUAAAAUUCUUAACAAUUGCAACACGAAGUUAAUAAAAGAAAAAAAACUGAACGUGCUAGCUGAUUUACAUAGCUUCUAUUAUAUACAUUAAAAUGUCUAAAAGAAAUCUGAAAGAGAAGGAGAUUUUCUGGGAAAUGCAAAAUAACAAAAAUAUAUUUUUAUUCACAUUUUAAUUUUGAGAGCAAAUACACAAUAACUAUUUCAUAUAAAUUGUUACCUAAAUUAUAGUGACCAUUGAUAUGAAAGGAAUGACUUGUAUGAUAUUUGUAAUUUUUGAGCUAUAAAACAAUAUAUUGUUGUAAAUAAGGGAAUUAUGAAUAAUAAAUUAUUUGACAUUUAAUGCAAAAA